GUCCACGCCGUAAACGAUGUCGAUUUGGAGGCUGUGUCCUUGAGACGUGGCUUCCGGAGCUAACGCGUUAAAUCGACCGCCUGGGGAGUACGGCCGCAAGGUUAAACUCAAAUGAAUUGACGGGGCCCGCACAAGCGGUGGAGCAUGUGGUUUAAUUCGAUGCAACGCGAAGAACCUUACCUACUCUUGACAUCCACAGAAGCCAGUAGAGAUACAGGUGUGCCUUCGGGAACUGUGAGACAGGUGCUGCAUGGCUGUCGU
RNAcentral lists this ribosomal RNA (261 nucleotides) under uncultured bacterium. Its description in RNAcentral is "partial 16S ribosomal RNA". It matches the Rfam family "Bacterial small subunit ribosomal RNA", at positions 793 to 1055 of the family's 1533-position model. The record is from RNAcentral.